RNAcentral lists this ribosomal RNA (402 nucleotides) under uncultured Rhizobium sp. Its description in RNAcentral is "partial 16S ribosomal RNA". It matches the Rfam family "Bacterial small subunit ribosomal RNA", at positions 355 to 774 of the family's 1533-position model. Lineage: Bacteria; Pseudomonadati; Pseudomonadota; Alphaproteobacteria; Hyphomicrobiales; Rhizobiaceae. The record is from RNAcentral.
UGGGGAAUAUUGGACAAUGGGCGCAAGCCUGAUCCAGCCAUGCCGCGUGAGUGAUGAAGGCCCUAGGGUUGUAAAGCUCUUUCACCGGAGAAGAUAAUGACGGUAUCCGGAGAAGAAGCCCCGGCUAACUUCGUGCCAGCAGCCGCGGUAAUACGAAGGGGGCUAGCGUUGUUCGGAAUUACUGGGCGUAAAGCGCACGUAGGCGGAUACUUAAGUCAGGGGUGAAAUCCCAGAGCUCAACUCUGGAACUGCCUUUGAUACUGGGUAUCUCGAGUAUGGAAGAGGUGAGUGGAAUUCCGAGUGUAGAGGUGAAAUUCGUAGAUAUUCGGAGGAACACCAGUGGCGAAGGCGGCUCACUGGUCCAUUACUGACGCUGAGGUGCGAAAGCGUGGGGAGCAAACA